This 221-nucleotide unclassified non-coding RNA is filed under the name soil metagenome. RNAcentral's name for it is "partial internal transcribed spacer 1". The record is from RNAcentral.
CCGAAAUUUAAAACUCACAACGCGAGUCUCGUGCGGAAGCAAAUAUGACUGCCGUGACUUUGUGACUCUUCAAGUCUUCCUUUGCUCAAGUCAAACCACACUCGUGAAGCACAUGUGACGAGUCUGUGGUGAGCAUCGGGAGCACUGCGUUUCCUUCGGGAUUCACAGUCUAAAAAACGAAUUGUAAAAGUAUAUAUAUAAACAAAAAAAGACGAAAAAAU